AACCUUUACAAUGCACGAAAGUGUGAUAAGGGAAUUCUACGUGCAAGCUAUGCUUGCUUUUCUCAAGUCUAAAACGCUUGGGGAAUAAGGGCUGGGCAAGACCCGUGCCAGCCGCCGCGGUAACACGGGCAGCUCUAGUAGCGUUCGCGAAUAUUGGACCUAAAGCGUACGUAGCCUGUUAAGUAAGUUUCUGGUGAAAGCAUGCGACUUAAUCGUGUGAGUUGCCAGGAAAACUACUUUGACUUGGGACCGGGAAGGGUCGGAGGUAUUUCUGGGGUAGGGGUAAAAUCCAAUAAUCCUAGAAGGACCAUCGGUGGCGAAGGCGUCCGACUGGAACGGGUCCGACGGUGAGGUACGAAAGCUAGGGGAGCGACCGGGAUUAGAUACCCCGUUAGUCCUAGCCGUAAAUGAUGCAAGUUUGGUAUUGCAAUCCUUACGAGGGAUUGCAGUGCCGUAGGGAAGCCGUUAAACUUGCCGCCUGGGAGUACGACCGCAAGGU
RNAcentral lists this ribosomal RNA (499 nucleotides) under uncultured archaeon. Its description in RNAcentral is "bacterial SSU rRNA". It matches the Rfam family "Archaeal small subunit ribosomal RNA", at positions 345 to 849 of the family's 1478-position model. The record is from RNAcentral.